AUUUUGGACAGAUUUGGAGUCUAACUUUUUUUUGAACCCACCAACUUUAUCUACUCCUUAAACCUUACAGAUAUCAUCUGUUUCUACGAUAAUUCAGGUGUGAGGAUGGUGGGUCAGGAAAGACAGGGGAAGGCAACAGGUGAAGAAUCCCACUAUGAGCACCAUGACGGGCAGAGCCACACAGAGCACGAUGCGGCUGAUGGGCAGCUCGACGGGACAGUCUAUGGUGGGUGAAGAAGGAAUCAGAU
Molecule: long non-coding RNA, 248 nt
Organism: Perca fluviatilis (European perch)
Lineage: Eukaryota; Metazoa; Chordata; Actinopteri; Perciformes; Percidae
Exons: 3
Source: RefSeq, a predicted model, not a curated record